This is a long non-coding RNA of Lepidothrix coronata (blue-crowned manakin), 1171 nucleotides long. RefSeq lists it as uncharacterized. The transcript has 5 exons. Lineage: Eukaryota; Metazoa; Chordata; Aves; Passeriformes; Pipridae. The record is from RefSeq and is a predicted model, not a curated record.
CAAAACUGGACACAGUACCUGAGGUGAGGCCUCACCAGUGCUGGGUAAAGAGGAACAAUCACUUCCCGGGCCAAAUACUAGAUAUUAGAUCUGGAGUCCUUCCAGUGGUAUUUUUAUAGGAAAGGUACCACAUUUUCAAUUCCACAAAUCUUUGCCAUAAAGAAUUAUCGUAAUUAUCAUGUACAAAUUGUCACUGGUUGGCUAUCCAUCUGGUCUUUCUCUUCUUCAUUUUAUGUUACUAUUAAAAUUUAUACUUCUUUUAUACUGUCUGAACUGCAAACAGCUUCUUGUACUUUACUAUUCAGAUGUCUUUAAUUUACACAUCUCUUAACUCUGUAGUGGGCUUUAAAAAAGUUUCCAGUUAAAGACUUGAAAAAUCCUUUUGUGUUGUUUCAAUUUUUUUUAUUUAUUUUUUUCUUAAUUCACUGAAAACGGUUCGGUUUCAACUGGGUACGCAAGAAAAUGUCUUUUCUUGUGAGCCUCAGAAACAUGCUUCCAAAAAGCAAUGAUGGAAGUGUGGAGAAACGUCUUCAACUGGCAGCAUUUGAUCGGUUUCUUGCUUACACCCAAUGAACAGGAGAGGGAGCCAAUGUGCUAAAAAGCUGCAGAAGAAUUGUAACCUGCACUUGAAGGGCUGUGAGCUCUGAUUCUUCAGUAAUGCCAGAGCCGAAUGUCACCACUGACACAACAUGCUUGAGUUACACUGAAGUUCAUGUCAUAGCUUUAAAGUUUGCUCCAGCUUCAGAUCUUACCUGAAAAGUACAGCUCCUUUUCCUGCAUGGCUGCAGCAGUAACCUCCAGUAACCAGGUCUCGGACAGGCUUGACUUCUUCAAAAAGGGGGACAGCCUCCACUGAUCUUCCAGUUGAUCCUGAGGGACUUCAAAUACAAGGUAAUUACUGGAAGAAAAGCUAAUUUAAUGACUGAAGCAACAACUUUGGUUUAAAAGACAUCCUAUAUAUGGAAUCCAAGAUUUAUGUCCUGGAAGGAUCAACUCUUCAUCCUUCAUUUGUCCAGCAUUAAAUAGUCCAUUGAGAAGAGCUUGUCUACAAUGAAUGGAUGAUGAACCUCACCCCAUCCCCAGCCCAGUUCCUUCUGAUAAAGUUAUGGUGUCUCUAUUCUCUUUGAAUGAAGUCUUGUUUUUGGUUUUGCUCUGCUGUUUGCUCAUCAGU